This 96-nucleotide transfer RNA is filed under the name Penicillium steckii. It matches the Rfam family "tRNA". From Rfam's summary of the family: Transfer RNA (tRNA) molecules are approximately 80 nucleotides in length. Their secondary structure includes four short double-helical elements and three loops (D, anti-codon, and T loops). Lineage: Eukaryota; Fungi; Ascomycota; Eurotiomycetes; Eurotiales; Aspergillaceae. The record is from Rfam by way of RNAcentral.
GUCAGUAUGGCGGAGUGGUCUAACGCGCUGGACUUGAACGUUUGUUCUCGCUAUCCAGUACCUUCGGGUGCCUAGGUUCGAACCCUAGUGCUGACG